RNAcentral lists this microRNA precursor (95 nucleotides) under Choloepus hoffmanni (Hoffmann's two-fingered sloth). Its description in RNAcentral is "miRNA (ENSCHOG00000015365.1)". The record is from RNAcentral. Lineage: Eukaryota; Metazoa; Chordata; Mammalia; Pilosa; Megalonychidae.
AGAGCUCCAGACAGGGAGAGACAAGGGAGUUGGACUCCACUCCUGACACUGCCACCAACUUUACUGUGUCAAUUCCAGCAAGUCCCUGUCUUUCC